ACUCCUACGGGAGGCAGCAGUGGGGAAUUUUGGACAAUGGGGGCAACCCUGAUCCAGCAAUGCCGCGUGAGUGAAGAAGGCCUUCGGGUUGUAAAGCACUUUUGUCCGGGAAGAAAUCCGUAGUGGCUAAUAUACUACGGGUAAUGACGUACUGAAGAAUAG
RNAcentral lists this ribosomal RNA (162 nucleotides) under uncultured bacterium. RNAcentral describes it as "partial 16S ribosomal RNA". It matches the Rfam family "Bacterial small subunit ribosomal RNA", at positions 335 to 488 of the family's 1533-position model. The record is from RNAcentral.